GGUGUGUAGCUCAGUGGUUAGAGCACUACGUUCACAUCGUAGGGGUCGUAGGUUCAAAUCCUACCACACC
This 70-nucleotide transfer RNA is filed under the name bovine gut metagenome. It matches the Rfam family "tRNA". From Rfam's summary of the family: Transfer RNA (tRNA) molecules are approximately 80 nucleotides in length. Their secondary structure includes four short double-helical elements and three loops (D, anti-codon, and T loops). The record is from RNAcentral.